This is a long non-coding RNA of Myiozetetes cayanensis, 2846 nucleotides long. RefSeq lists it as uncharacterized. The record is from RefSeq and is a predicted model, not a curated record. Lineage: Eukaryota; Metazoa; Chordata; Aves; Passeriformes; Tyrannidae. The transcript has 2 exons.
CACCGUCCAAGCUCGCUUGGCCCCGGCAGAUGAACCUUAGGAUUAAAGGGUGGGCUCAGUUCCGCGCACACUGUGUCUCACCUAAAAAAUCCAAUGCGCAGGCUGGAAGGUGUAAAGACCUUCCCCGGAUCUUCUCUUGCGAAGACUGGCCAUUAUUAUUAUUAUAAGAUGAUAAUAACUGUUCAUUAUCACUUAUGCUAGCUUUAAAUACUUGGAGUCCCUUCUUGCCAAGCACAAAUGUGAAUGCAUCCAAUGAUGUGUUCAGUUCCUCUACUUCUGUGGAAGUCAGUGCAACACAUCUGUGUGCUAAGCACACACUACAGGACCUGGCCCUGAGGGCACUUAAAUCAACAUUAACCCCAUAGGCCAGGAAGUCCCUGAAGCCUAUGCAAUGCCCUUAGAGCUGGAUCCCCUCAAAAAUCCAACAUACACCAACUAUACCACUCACUUUAGUUACCUCCCCUUGUACACAGUGCAUUUGUUUGUCUAAAUUCUGCAGGAUCCCCUCUAAAGAGAGAAAGUUAGAACAGUAGUGGGGAACAAAUAACUGGAAGAUGAGGAUGAGGUUUCAGGCUGGGAUAUGGCCAUGGAAGUUCCAAACUGCUACAGCUGAAAGCUCAUACCCUGACAACAGGCUGUAUGCUGUUUCACUUGAGCUAAUAGGUAACAGAUCUGAAUGGAGGUAAAAACCCCUCAGUUCUUUGUAUUUCUGCACUGUGCGGUUUUUUGGCGGGUAAAUUACUUCUGAUUCUUUCCCUCAGCACACCACUGAUAACAAUAAUUUGCAGCCGCCCAACUUAUGAUCGUUCACAUUCCUGGUUUGUAUAUAAACAGGACAUACAGUAUGGCUUGUUCCCACCCACACCACCCCAAGACUGUGAAGCUGUUCGUGCAGGAGAACGGGAGGUGCAUGCACAUUAAAUGGUAUGGAAAAGUCAUGUUCUGAGUGGCAUAGCUGUCCAUCGCUUUACACACCGGCAGAGCCCACAAAGGGUGAAAAAUUAAACCUUUUUUUUCCAAAUGCCAUAGUCAUUUCAGGGUUAUCUUAACUGAAAUUGUGAAGCGUGAAAGUAUUUCUUUCCUCCACUAAAUGUAACACAUGGAAAACUUCCUUCCACCUCAGUGGCACUUUCAAUGAGUCCUUUCCAGGGAGCUGCUACUGCUGAUACUGGAAAAUGAGACCCAGUUAUUUUCUCCCCAUAGCGGGGGAGUAUCUAAGUUUAUGUCUCUAGAACAUAAAAUUGGCCCAUGAGUGAUUAAUGUUUUGGGUUUUUAUCCAUGAAAAGGCUAGAAGGACCAAUAAAAAUAAUUAAUUUUUUCUUGGUGAGAAAUACUAAAAUCUAUCAUUCCAAGAAAGACUAUAUACUUGCCUUCACUGCUAUGUUCAGGCCAGGUAAUAUUUUAUUCCCUCAAUAGUUUCAUUACUUUCACUGGGCCUUCCUGGAAUUUCUUUGAUUCACAGAAUAGAUUUGCCGUGUGUCCAAGGACCAAUUUGUACAGGGGGGUCCUGGUCCAUGGCCAUGAUUAAGACUGUAACAGAAAAUCACCAUUGUUUACUUUAAAAUCUCUGGUUUGAUGUAAAUCAAGUGACUUUCAAAGUAUAUGCUGCUCAGUUUUUGAGAGAAGCAAUGCAGUCUUGUUUUAUUGCCAAAUAAAUUACACAGGGCAAAUAAGAAUUUUUAUUGUAAUAAAAAAUUCAACUUCUGCUUUUGUCUUGAACAAAACAUUUUAGUAGGCAUACCACUUUGUGCUAUUGUAUACUGCUUUGUAAAAAGCUGAAUAAACUGUUUUACCCUUUCUUGUUAAAGUUCUCCAGUUUAAAAUGUAAACUGCUAGUUUGCUAAAGAGUUAAUGAGGGACUUCAUCCUAAAUAAAUAAUUUGUAAGUAAGGAAUGUAAUACUUAAAAUACAUGUUCCUCUUUAACAAGUGGUGAGGAAUGAUGAUUUUUUUUUUUAAAUGCAAACAAAUGCUGGGAGAAUUUGAGUGGUAUCCAGAUAUACUGAAGGAGAUGCAUUUUCAUGUACUUUCAAAUACAUUUCUUAACACUUUCAGUCAAGUUUGUGUUGGAUGUUUGCACUAGUUGCUCAAAGCUAAUUUUUGUGAGAAAGAACUAUAUUCUUAUGUAUAGUUGGUACACUAGAAAAGCAAGUGUUUUUAGAAACUGUUAUGCUGUAAUAACAAUAGUAUUUAUUAGUGAAUAGCUCAAAUUUAUUUUACAAAAUCGCCAAUUUUGAAAUAAAUGGACAGGCUUCCUGUAUAUAAUCUGUUAUCUGUGGGUUUGUCCUUUUUCUCACAACAAAAUACCUUAAAACAUAGUUUAGGAGAGAUCACCAUUUAGUUCUAAUUGUUUAAUUUACUCAUUGUUAUUAUUAUAUAUUUUAUCUAUUGUAUGCAUUAUUUUUAUCUAUUCAUGCAUUUUCAUGCCCAGUAGUUAUAUUCACUUUUUAGCAGAGUAAACACUGCAAAUUCAUCAAGUAUGUUGUUUCCCAACUAUCCAGAAAGUGACUUUUCAUUUUAGAGGAAGAAUCUAAACUUUUAUUUUGGUCAAUAAACAGAUGGAUUUUAAAUUUUUAUACAGGUGAAGAAUUAUUAAUUUAUUAUUGCAUAGAAAUUGGCAUUAUAAAGGCAAGCCAUGGGAAAUCUUACAAAAACAGUUGUGCUUAAUUAGUUACUGUUCUUACAAUUCAGUUUAUCUGGACUGCUUCUGUGUACAUGUUUAGACUUGUGGAUUAGUAAAUUACUAGCUGCAGUACCCAUUCAUAUUUACUAUGUACUUCCCCCUACCCCUUAUUCCCUUUGCAGUAUAUGAGAAAAGGAAAAUAAAGUACAACAGAGUUGCAAUACA